AAGUCGUAACAAGGUUUCCGUAGGUGAACCUGCGGAAGGAUCAUUACAAAUAAAGCUGGUAGGAAAGUGGGGUCUUGAUCUGUAAGUGGUACGACGCGUAACAGUCCGGCUGCCUUCCCGAAAUGUCUUACAGUGUCCCCCACAGCCUGAAGGCCGAAUUACAAGCCCAUUGAUUAUCUACACUUGUUGCUUUGGGGUGCUCAAGUGCCCCAGAGGAACCCUAACUCUCUUGCAUUUAGUGACGUCUGAGUACUAUAUAAUAUUUAAAAC
RNAcentral lists this unclassified non-coding RNA (270 nucleotides) under plant metagenome. Its description in RNAcentral is "partial contains small subunit ribosomal RNA and internal transcribed spacer 1". The stretch from base 1 to 46 matches the Rfam family "Eukaryotic small subunit ribosomal RNA", at positions 1786 to 1831 of the family's 1831-position model. The record is from RNAcentral.